UAAACCCACACAGAUGGGAUUUGGGCA
This 27-nucleotide non-coding RNA is filed under the name Homo sapiens (human). The record is from RNAcentral. Lineage: Eukaryota; Metazoa; Chordata; Mammalia; Primates; Hominidae.